RNAcentral lists this ribosomal RNA (302 nucleotides) under uncultured Streptococcus sp. Its description in RNAcentral is "bacterial SSU rRNA". It matches the Rfam family "Bacterial small subunit ribosomal RNA", at positions 1080 to 1382 of the family's 1533-position model. The record is from RNAcentral. Lineage: Bacteria; Bacillati; Bacillota; Bacilli; Lactobacillales; Streptococcaceae.
UUAAGUCCCGCAACGAGCGCAACCCCUAUUGUUAGUUGCCAUCAUUCAGUUGGGCACUCUAGCGAGACUGCCGGUAAUAAACCGGAGGAAGGUGGGGAGUGACGUCAAAUCAUCAUGCCCCUUAUGACCUGGGCUACACACGUGCUACAAUGGUUGGUACAACGAGUUGCGAGUCGGUGACGGCGAGCUAAUCUCUUAAAGCCAAUCUCAGUUCGGAUUGUAGGCUGCAACUCGCCUACAUGAAGUCGGAAUCGCUAGUAAUCGCGGAUCAGCACGCCGCGGUGAAUACGUUCCCGGGCCUU